RNAcentral lists this ribosomal RNA (465 nucleotides) under uncultured bacterium. RNAcentral's name for it is "bacterial SSU rRNA". It matches the Rfam family "Bacterial small subunit ribosomal RNA", at positions 338 to 795 of the family's 1533-position model. The record is from RNAcentral.
CCUACGGGAGGCAGCAGUGGGGAAUCUUGCGCAAUGAGCGAAAGCUUGACGCAGCAACGCCGCGUGGGGGAAGAAUGCCUUCGGGUUGUAAACCCCUUUCAGGAGGAACGAAGGAUCGGCCGUUAAUAGCGGUCCGGUUUGACGGUACCUUCAGAAGAAGCCCCGGCUAACUACGUGCCAGCAGCCGCGGUAAUACGUAGGGGGCAAGCGUUGUCCGGAAUCAUUGGGCGUAAAGCGCGCGUAGGCGGUUCGAUAAGUCUGCUGUGAAAGUCAAAGGCUCAACCUUUGAAAGCCGGUGGAAACUGUCGAGCUAGAGUCCGGAAGAGGCGAGUGGAAUUCCUGGUGUAGCGGUGGAAUGCGCAGAUAUCAGGAAGAACACCAACGGCGAAGGCAGCUCGCUGGGACGGUACUGACGCUAAGGCGCGAAAGCGUGGGGAGCAAACAGGAUUAGAUACCCUUGUAGUC